GGAAGCAGCUUGCUGCUUUGCUGACGAGUGGCGGACGGGUGAGUAAUGUCUGGGAAACUGCCUGAUGGAGGGGGAUAACUACUGGAAACGGUAGCUAAUACCGCAUAACGUCGCAAGACCAAAGAGGGGGACCUUAGGGCCUCUUGCCAUCGGAUGUGCCCAGAUGGGAUUAGCUAGUAGGUGGGGUAACGGCUCACCUAGGCGACGAUCCCUAGCUGGUCUGAGAGGAUGACCAGCCACACUGGAACUGAGACACGGUCCAGACUCCUACGGGAGGCAGCAGUGGGGAAUAUUG
RNAcentral lists this ribosomal RNA (295 nucleotides) under uncultured bacterium. Its description in RNAcentral is "partial 16S ribosomal RNA". It matches the Rfam family "Bacterial small subunit ribosomal RNA", at positions 71 to 366 of the family's 1533-position model. The record is from RNAcentral.